RNAcentral lists this ribosomal RNA (466 nucleotides) under uncultured bacterium. Its description in RNAcentral is "bacterial SSU rRNA". It matches the Rfam family "Bacterial small subunit ribosomal RNA", at positions 917 to 1382 of the family's 1533-position model. The record is from RNAcentral.
GGACCCGCACAAGCGGUGGAGCAUGUGGUUCAAUUCGAUGCAACGCGAAGAACCUUACCUGGCCUUGACAUCCUCGGAACUUGGCAGAGAUGCCUUGGUGCCUUCGGGAACCGAGAGACAGGUGCUGCAUGGCUGUCGUCAGCUCGUGUCGUGAGAUGUUGGGUUAAGUCCCGCAACGAGCGCAACCCUUGUCCUUAGUUGCCAGCACUUCGGGUGGGCACUCUAAGGAGACCGCCGGUGACAAACCGGAGGAAGGUGGGGAUGACGUCAAGUCAUCAUGGCCUUUAUGGCCAGGGCUACACACGUGCUACAAUGGCUGGUACAGAGGGUUGCCAACGCGCGAGCGGGAGCCAAUCCCAAAAAGCCAGUCGUAGUCCGGAUCGGAGUCUGCAACUCGACUCCGUGAAGUCGGAAUCGCUAGUAAUCGCGAAUCAGCAUUGUCGCGGUGAAUACGUUCCCGGGUCUU